UCCGGUUUGUCACCGGCAGUCUCACAUGAGUCUCCAACUUAAUGCUGGCAACAUGCGACGGGGGUUGCGCUCGUUGCGGGACUUAACCCGACAUGCCACCACACGAGCUGACGACAGCCAUGCAGCACCUGUCUCUUUGUCGUAUUGCUACGAAAGCUACAUCUCUGUAGUUGUCAAAGGAUGUCAAACCUAGGUAAGGUUCUGCGCGUUGCUUCGAAUUAAACCACAUAAUCCACCGCUUGUGCGGGCUCCCGUCAAUUCCUUUGAGUUUUAGUCUUGCGACCGUACUUCCCAGGCGGGGUACUUAUCGCGUUAGCUCCGGCUCCGCAGGGGUCAACUCCCACGAAGCCUAGUACCCAUCGUUUACAGCGUGGACUAC
RNAcentral lists this unclassified non-coding RNA (379 nucleotides) under uncultured Oligoflexales bacterium. RNAcentral describes it as "contains 16S-23S intergenic spacer region". The record is from RNAcentral. Lineage: Bacteria; Pseudomonadati; Bdellovibrionota; Oligoflexia; Oligoflexales.